RNAcentral lists this non-coding RNA (90 nucleotides) under bovine gut metagenome. RNAcentral describes it as "THF riboswitch". It matches the Rfam family "THF (Tetrahydrofolate) riboswitch aptamer". From Rfam's summary of the family: THF riboswitch presents a pseudoknot that joins P1-P2 and the loop of P3 and two THF binding. The record is from RNAcentral.
AGAGUAGACAAAACGCGUUUACAGUGUUUCGGGAUGGGAUGUUGCCCGAAAACGAAACGGUUCGCCCUGCGGUGUUUUGUCGCGUCCGCU